UUACAUACCUGGGACGUGGUCAAUGGGUGAUCAAUAAGGCUCAUGGCCUAGAUCAAUAGCUCACAUCGCACAUGGUGGGUGCGUUGAUCUACCAUCUCCCAAUGAUGGGAUAAUCUACCAUCUCCCAAUGAUGGGAUAGUAGACGUCAUAAUUUAUGACAGGCAAGCGCUAUGCGUCGGCGCACCGGCUCA
RNAcentral lists this small nuclear RNA (191 nucleotides) under Triticum dicoccoides. RNAcentral describes it as "snRNA U1". It matches the Rfam family "U1 spliceosomal RNA". Rfam says of the family: U1 is a small nuclear RNA (snRNA) component of the spliceosome (involved in pre-mRNA splicing). Its 5' end forms complementary base pairs with the 5' splice junction, thus defining the 5' donor site of an intron. There are significant differences in sequence and secondary structure between metazoan and yeast U1 snRNAs, the latter being much longer (568 nucleotides as compared to 164 nucleotides in human). The record is from RNAcentral. Lineage: Eukaryota; Viridiplantae; Streptophyta; Magnoliopsida; Poales; Poaceae.